This 253-nucleotide ribosomal RNA is filed under the name uncultured bacterium. RNAcentral describes it as "partial 16S ribosomal RNA". It matches the Rfam family "Bacterial small subunit ribosomal RNA", at positions 524 to 776 of the family's 1533-position model. The record is from RNAcentral.
UACGUAGGGUGCGAGCGUUGUCCGGAAUUAUUGGGCGUAAAGGGCUCGUAGGCGGUUUGUCGCGUCGGGAGUGAAAUCCACUGGCUUAACUGGUGGCUUGCUUUCGAUACGGGCAGACUGGAGGUAUGCAGGGGAGAACGGAAUUCCUGGUGUAGCGGUGAAAUGCGUAGAUAUCUGGAGGAACACCGGUGGCGAAGGCGGCAUCCUGGACCGGCAUUGACGCUGAGGAGCGAAAGCCAGGGGAGCAAACGGG